CCUACGGGUGGCAGCAGUGAGGAAUAUUGGUCAAUGGGCGCGAGCCUGAACCAGCCAAGUAGCGUGAAGGAUGAAUGCCCUACGGGUUGUAAACUUCUUUUAUAAAGGAAUAAAGUGAGGCACGUGUGCCGUUUUGUAUGUACUUUAUGAAUAAGGGUCGGCUAAGUCCGUGCCAGCAGCCGCGGUAAUACGGAGGCUCCGAGCGUUAUCCGGAUUUAUUGGGUUUAAAGGGAGCGUAGGUGGGUGGUUAAGUCAGCUGUGAAAGUUUGCGGCUCAACCGGAGAAUUGCAAUUGAUACUGGCAGUCUUGAGUACAGUUGAGGUAGGCGGAAUUCGUGGUGUAGCGGUGAAAUGCUUAGAUAUCACGAGGAACCCCGAUUGCGAAGGCAGCCUGCUAGACUGCCACUGACAUUGAUGCUCGAAAGUGUGGGUAUCAAACAGGAUUAGAUACCCUGGUAGUC
This 460-nucleotide ribosomal RNA is filed under the name uncultured bacterium. RNAcentral describes it as "partial 16S ribosomal RNA". It matches the Rfam family "Bacterial small subunit ribosomal RNA", at positions 338 to 795 of the family's 1533-position model. The record is from RNAcentral.